This 253-nucleotide ribosomal RNA is filed under the name uncultured bacterium. RNAcentral's name for it is "partial 16S ribosomal RNA". It matches the Rfam family "Bacterial small subunit ribosomal RNA", at positions 524 to 776 of the family's 1533-position model. The record is from RNAcentral.
UACGUAGGUGGCAAGCGUUGUUCGGAAUUAUUGGGCGUAAAGGGCGCGUAGGCGGUUUGUUAAGUCGGCUGUGAAAGCCCGGGGCUCAACCCCGGAGGGUCAGCCGAUACUGGCAGACUAGAGUACGGAAGAGGUAGCUGGAAUUCCCGGUGUAGCGGUGAAAUGCGUAGAUAUCGAGAGGAACACCUGCGGCGAAGGCGGGUUGCUGGGCCGACACUGACGCUGAUGCGCGAAAGCCAGGGGAGCGAACGGG